UAUCUUAUUAUCACCACUGGACUCUUUCCGAAAUGGAGGGAAAAGCUUUUAUUAUAAUGUGCAUUUUUAUUGCAACAGUCCACGCGCAAAGUUCAACAACUCAGUCCACAGUAGAUUCAACAACCGACACCUCUGCAACACCCACAGCUACAAUGACGUCUUCAACAACCACUACAACUCUUGCUGAAUCAUCCACUACUACUGCAGGAGUUACCACGACAGCACCACAAACUACUUUUACAACAGCUGAAUCCUCCACAACAGCUACAACAACAGCAGAUCCUUCAACAACCACUACAACUAUUGCUGAAACAUCCACUACUACUGCAGGAGUUACCACGAUACCACCACAAUCUACUGUUACAACAGCAGAAUCCUCCACAACAGCUACAACAACAGCAGUUCCUUCAACAACCACUACAACUCUAACUGAAGCAUCCACUACUACUGCAGGAACAACCACAACAGCCCCACAAACUACUGUUACAACAGCAGAAUCCUCCACAACAGCAACAACAACAGCAGUGCCCUCAACAACCACUACAACUCUUGCUGAAUCAUCCACCACUACUCCAGGAGUUACCACAACAGCACCACAAACUACUGUUGCAACAGCAGAAUCCUCCACAACAGAUACAACAACAGCAGUGCCCUCAACAAUCACUACAGCUCUUGCUGAAUCAUCCACCACUAUUGCAGGAGUUACCACGACAGCACUACAAACUACUGUUACAACAGUUGAAUCCUCCACAACAGCAACAACAACAACAGUUCCCUCAACAACAAUUACAACUCUUGAUAAAUCAUCCACGACUACUGCAGGAGUUACCACAACAGCCCCACAAACUACUGUUACAACAGUAGAAUCCUCCACAACAUCUACAACAACAACAACAGUGCCCUCAACAACCAUUACAACUGUUGCUGAAUCAUCCACGACUACUGCAGGAGUUUCCACGACAGCACUACAAACUACUGUUACAACAGCAGAAUCCUCCACAACAGCUACAACAACAGCAGUUCCUUCAACAACCAUUACAACUCUUACUGAGGCAUCCACUACUACUGCAGGAGUUACCACAACAGCACCACAAACUACUGUUACAACAGCAGAAUCCUCCACAACAUCUACAACAACAACAACAGUGCCCUCAACAACCAUUACAACUGUUGCUGAAUCAUCGACCACUACUGCAGGAGUUACCACAACAGCACCACAAACUACUGUUACAACAGCAGAAUCCUCCACAACAGCUACAACAACAGCAGUUCCUUCAACAACCAUUACAACUCUUACUGAGGCAUCCACUACUACUGCAGGAGUUACCACAACAGCCCCACAAACUAGUGUUACAACAGCAGAAUCCUCCACAACAGCAACAACAACAGCAGUUCCUUCAACAACCAUUACAACUCUUACUGAGGCAUCCACUACUACUGCAGGAGUUACCACAACAGCACCACAAGCUACUGUUACAACAGCAGAAUCCUCCACAACAGCUAGAACAACAGCAGCAACAUCUGAAACACCAGCAACUUCAUCGCCAACAGGUUCAGCCACAGUCUUUACAUCAAUUAUUGGUACAUCCACCAGUGGUACAGCAAUAACCACAAAAGUGACACAAUCUAAAGUUACUACAGAGUCUACAGCAUCUAACACUUCUACAGAACCUGCAGUGUCUACAGCUGCUAUAGCUUCUACUGUAUCUACAGCUUCAACAGCAUCUACAGCAUCAACAGCAUCUACAACCUCUACAGCAUCUACAGCCUCUACAACAUCUACAACCUCUACAGCAUCUACAACCUCUACAGCAUCUACAACCUCCAAAGCAACUACUGCAAAAAUAAUACCUGAAGUGCUAACAGAUCUAGUGUUUAGCUCUUUUGAGACAUUUAUAGAUGCACUCAGUGAUGUCAACAGUGAGGAGUUUAAGAUUAGGUCUAAACUUGUCAAGGAUGAGCUUGAGCCUGUCUACAAAAUCAAGUAUUCUAACUUCCUCAGAUUGAAUGUCCUAAGAUUCAGAUCAGGGUCAAUCAUCACAUCAACACAACUAGCUUUCAGCUUCAACCAAACUAUCCCAUCUGUUCAAGAGAUUUCAAACACCCUCUUGGAAGCAGUGGGAACAGGGGAUGUCAAUCCAUUAAAGAUAAUCCCUGAAUCAAUUUCAGUCAAUGGUUCAGCUACAACUGUUGCUCCUGCAACAACUACAACAACCACCACAGCAACUACAGUUUCAGGCGGAUUAAAGAUUGAAUCCAGUCUGUUCCAAGCAAUAUGCCUCAUUAUUAUGUCUAAAAUAUUAAGCUUUUUCCUAUAGAUCCCUUAAACAUAUCAACCAAACAUGAGAGUUCAACAAGACACACUGUAACAAAUUAAUUAAACACAAAAUGUAUUUAUUAUUAUUAUUAUUAAAUGUAUAGUAUUUCUCAUUGUAGCACAUUCUCAAAUACUAGUAUUGAGCAACAUAAAGAUAACUUUGAUAAUGCAUUUUUGCUGAAGAAUAUAACAGUAGAUAUCUGUUUAACAGCAGGCUGUUUUCUGGGAGGGAGAAGUAGAUCUUUUUCCUUAUGUAUUUCCUUUAAAUGUAAACAUUGUGAAUGUUGUUUAACUGUUUUGAGGUUAAUACUGUUUAAACUACUUAUUUUUGUUUGUCUAAGUUCUAACAUUGUAAUAUGUAAUAUUUUAAUUAAAUAAAAAUAUUUAUUAAAUGAUGUAGUCCAAAAUAUUUUGCUUUCAUAAAAAAAAGACUACAAUACAACUACAGCACAAUAAAUACUACACUGUAAAAAGUCUGUAGUUUUUACAAAAUAAUUUUGGCAGCUGUGGUUGCCAGAAUACUUUUGUAAAAAAUACAGAAAAACUGUAAACACAAUUACGGCCAAAAACUGUAAAUUUUACAGUAUAAAACUGUUAUUUACAAACAAGAAAAUUUUAAUGUAAACCAGUAAAUUCAACAACGCACACUGCUAUUAAAAUCUGUUUUGUACCUUUAACAUACUGACAACCACCAUAAUAAUGCAGGUGGUAAAAGAGAAAGCCACAUGAAGAAUCGAAGUUCAUCACAAGUAGCUUCGCCACAAGCAGAAGUUUAUAUUAAUAUAUAGAAGGUGCACAAAGUCAUUCAUGCAAACACAAAACACCAUCAUGGUGACACACGAUACUUAAACAAUUCAAUAAACUUUCAUUAAACAGCAGAAGAUGUAACAUAAAGCCCAAAUGUACAACUGAUAACAAAAAACUAUUAAAAAACAUGAUUAUUUAAACAAAAUACUUUCAAAUGUGGAGCGUCACACAGGGAAUUCUGGGAAUAUCAGUUUACAGUUUUUGACUGUAAAUUAUACAUUGAUUUGUUCUUUUUAUUUCUAAAAAAUUGUACAGUUAAAAUGACACUUAUUUUUUACAGUGUAUAUAUGCUAAACCUGGCUUUUUAUGGUAAAGUGUUCACUGUUCAAACAACCCUUACCAAAAAGCAGUAUACUUCAAGUUUAUUUUAUUAAGUAUACUUAAAUAAAGUUCAAGUAUAUUUU
Molecule: long non-coding RNA, 3528 nt
Organism: Cyprinus carpio carpio
Lineage: Eukaryota; Metazoa; Chordata; Actinopteri; Cypriniformes; Cyprinidae
Source: Ensembl